UACGUAGGGGGCGAGCGUUGUCCGGAAUUAUUGGGCGUAAAGGGUACGCAGGCGGUUCUUUAAGUCUGAUGUGAAAUCUCACAGCUUAACUGUGAGCGGUCAUUGGAAACUGAGGAACUUGAGUAUAGAAGAGAAGAGUGGAAUUCCAAGUGUAGCGGUGAAAUGCGUAGAUAUUUGGAGGAACACCAGUGGCGAAGGCGACUCUCUGGACUGUAACUGACGCUGAGGCUCGAAAGCGUGGGGAGCAAACAGGAUUAGAUACCCUGGUA
This 269-nucleotide ribosomal RNA is filed under the name uncultured prokaryote. RNAcentral describes it as "partial 16S ribosomal RNA". It matches the Rfam family "Bacterial small subunit ribosomal RNA", at positions 524 to 792 of the family's 1533-position model. The record is from RNAcentral.